Molecule: long non-coding RNA, 2473 nt
Organism: Suricata suricatta (meerkat)
Lineage: Eukaryota; Metazoa; Chordata; Mammalia; Carnivora; Herpestidae
Exons: 3
Source: RefSeq, a predicted model, not a curated record
CCGACGGCCACUAAGAUCAUCAGAGCUGUGCCCACGAUGUUUUGGAGAAUCUGCAUAGGUUAGAGGGUGAGGGAAAAAAAAGGCCACACUCAGGCCCAGCCCGCGGGCCUCCGCUCCCAUGGUGACAGGUGCCCCCCUGGGAGCCAUUCCUGGCCAGGGCGCCCAGCCAGCUCUGAAGAUGGGCCUUGCAAGCUCCUGGGGACGGACCCCCGGCACACGCACAGUGCACGGUAAAGGAUCAGAUGUUCGCCCCCUUUGAGCCGACUCAUCCCAAGGGCGCCCGGACGCGGCUCCAGCACAAGCGGGAAGAGCGGUCAGGGCCCCUUCCCCAAGGGCAGGAGACCAGGGCGGCUUGCGCGGGCGGGAGCGCUCACCGAGAAGAAGCUGGCGUCGAAGUGAAGGAGCGUCAUGAACAUCAGCACCAGCAGAACCCUGCCUCCGAGCUGCAUGUACUGCUUGGGUGAGCUCUCGCGCACGGUGGGGACGCCCGCGAACAUGCUCUUGCCUUCGGACCGGGACUCCGCCAAGAGCAGCAACAGGCCUCCUCCCAGGGCCAGGUUCCUGAGGACAGAAACGCCAGCUGAGUUGCCAGGGCUCGGCAGCCACGACGCCCGCCCGUCCGCCCAGGUCGGGAGGCCUCGGCAGGAGCACAGGCAGGGAGGGCCCGCAGGUCCGUCUCUCCAAACCAGGCCGGACCGGCUGGGCGUGAGCCCGCAGGACCAGGGCCCGAGCCACCCCGGCAAAGGCCAUACACGGCCGAAGACAGACGGGUCUGUCCCGCUGAGCAGUGACACGAACGCGCUCGGAGCCCGUCCUGGCCCGGCCCCGCCGUCGGCCAGCUGGGGCGCCGGGAGCGCCUGCUGUCGCUCAGGCCCUCCUUCCCUCCCCAUGGGCACUGGGCUGGGAGACACAGCUUCAUUCUCACCUGUGCCCCGGGGGGGGGGUCCCUCCGCCAACACCUCCCACAGACUCCCAAGUGCACUCGGACCCAAAGAUACUCGCUCCCGACUGCUGGCUCCCGAGUCUGGAGACGCGGAACAGAAGCUCAGCACGUGAAGCGCGUACCUCAUCAAGAACUUCAAGUCCCACAGGAUGCUGUAGGCGACGGUCUGAAGGGGACACAGAAGAGAAGACAGAAACUUGAGUCUCACAUUUCCAAAUGCAUUCAGACUUUUACGUAGAGUAACAGUAGGCAAUCUUUCCACCGGAAGGGAGCGUAAGACACCCGGGACAGCUCCGAGCUCAACAACCGGGCGCAGCGGUCCCCGGGGCGCGCUGACCAGCCCAGCCUGCGGAACGAGCCAUCUGCUCCCAGGGAGCUGCGCCCUCGAGGUGAGACAUGGCCCCUGAGGGCUCCGGUCCGGGUGCCCACGGCUCCUCGGGCCAGCUGGGUGUUCGUGAGGGAAGACAAUAAGACCGUGUCCUGGCAGCCAACCUUGUCACCUGUCCUCGUCAGAGGAAGCUCCGGAAGGUGGCAAAAAGGUGGGCGCCCAGAGCUUGGCACCUUCUCAGGGACCCCAUCCUCUCCAGCCCUCCUGAGCUCGCACUCGGGAAAGGAGAGGCGACCCAGGGAGAGACACCGCCGGGGGAGAAGCCCGCGCACCUGCAGUGCUAUGAUCCCGAAGAGCCCGAAGCAGGCGUACUGCACGAAGUUCCUGCUCAACACCAGGAUGCAGCCGGCUGGAGAGGAGAAGGGCCAGGCUCAGGGGGCUGCGGCCGAGGACCGGCUACGCGCCCAAGGGAAAAGCAACUCCUGGGAGACUUCAUCUUGGACAGGGACCGGACCGCACCCGAGCGGAUGGGACCUUACUUGGCACAGGUACCGUUCUAGAAAAUGGAUCCCUUGCUCCAGAAAACGGGACAUUUUCCAGAGCGGGUGGCGCAGUGGCAACUGCCGUGAGAGCCUCAGGACAGGCUGAGAAGGGCAGGCCCUUUUCUGGCCCCCAAAUGUGCAAGGUGGCGGGGCUGCUGCCAACAGACAGCGGCCGGGGAGCAGAAGACCUGAGGCCCACGUGAGCUGCGUUCCGGCCGCCGACUCCUCCUUUCCCGACGCCGUGGGCUUCCCCUGCUCUGGCUCCUCGCCGGCCCACCCAGGUCACCCAGUGUCCCCCUCCCCCCCCCCGCGUCUCCCGGUCCAGGAGCUUAGAGCAGGGCCUGUGUCUUUGGUCUUAGUGAGCACGGCACCCACCCAAAGGCCGGCCUCCUGGGAGCCCCUCCCGUGGCCCCCGCCCCUGCCCCCCGGGGAAGGCCGGCGUGCGUCGGGGCCACUCACUCAGCUGCCCCAGCAGGUUGAGGAGCACGAAGGCGGAGGCCAGCGCGUAGCCGCAGCCCCAGGUCGUGUCGAUGUAGUCGCGCUGCUCGCCCCACUGGAACCACAUGCGCACGCCGUCCUCCAGGAACGUGCUGAUGAGGCAGAGGCGCGCCACGUGGGGCAGGUACUGCUUGGUGACCCGGAGGAACUGCGGGCCACAGA